GCCUCCAAUGAUGAUAAACUUUAGUUCUUCUGAAGUAGUUUUUGAGGAAAUUUUUUUUGGAGACCUGAACUGAGGAGGC
Molecule: small nucleolar RNA, 79 nt
Organism: Tripterygium wilfordii
Lineage: Eukaryota; Viridiplantae; Streptophyta; Magnoliopsida; Celastrales; Celastraceae
Product: small nucleolar RNA Z159/U59
Exons: 1
Source: RefSeq, a predicted model, not a curated record